AGCGAACGCUGGCGGCAGGCCUAACACAUGCAAGUCGAACGAACCUUUCGGGGUUAGUGGCGGACGGGUGAGUAACACGUGGGAACGUGCCUUUAGGUUCGGAAUAACUCAGGGAAACUUGUGCUAAUACCGAAUGUGCCCUUCGGGGGAAAGAUUUAUCGCCUUUAGAGCGGCCCGCGUCUGAUUAGCUAGUUGGUUGAGGUAAUGGCUCACCAAGGCGACGAUCAGUAGAUGGUCUGAGAGGAUGAUAAGCCACAUUGGGACUGAGACACGGCCCAAACUCCUACGGGAGGCAGCAGUGGGGAAUCUUGCGAAAUGGGCGAAAGCCUGACGAAGCAAUGCCGCGUGAAUGAUGAAGGUCUUAGGAUUGUAAAAUUCUUUCAACGGGGACGAUAAUGACGGUACCCGGAGAAGAAGCCCCGGCUAACUUCGUG
This 434-nucleotide ribosomal RNA is filed under the name uncultured bacterium. Its description in RNAcentral is "partial 16S ribosomal RNA". It matches the Rfam family "Bacterial small subunit ribosomal RNA", at positions 29 to 507 of the family's 1533-position model. The record is from RNAcentral.